Molecule: ribosomal RNA, 1895 nt
Filed under: human gut metagenome
Description: bacterial LSU rRNA
Rfam family: Bacterial large subunit ribosomal RNA
Source: RNAcentral
GAGAUAGCUGGUUCUCCCCGAAAUAGCUUUAGGGCUAGCGUUAUGUUAGAUUACCGGAGGUAAAGCACUGAAUGGGCUAGGGGCUGAUAAAGUUACUGAACCCUAUCAAACUCAGAAUGCCGGCUAAUUGAUGCAUAGCAGUCAGACUACGUGAGAUAAGUCUCGUGGUCAAAAGGGAAACAGCCCAGACCCACAGCUAAGGUCCCAAAUAAUUGCUAAGUGGAAAACGAUGUGAGAUUGCCCAGACAACCAGGAUGUUGGCUUAGAAGCAGCCACACAUUAAAAGAGUGCGUAAUAGCUCACUGGUCGAGUGGUCUUGCGCGGAAAAUAUAACGGGGCUAAGCAGUUAACCGAAGCUUGGGCUUGCCGAAGGCAGGGGUAGGGGAGCGUCGAAUACGGGGUGAAGUCGCAGCGGGAGCAGCGGUGGACUGUAUUCGAGUGAGAAUGCCGGAAUGAGUAGCGAGAAUUAUGUGGGAAUCAUAAUGGCCGAAAAUCUAAGGUUUCCUGGGGAAGGUUCGUCCGCCCAGGGUUAGCCGGGAGCUAAGGCGAGGCCGCGAGGCGUAGUCGAUGCACAUACGGUUGAAAUUCCGUAGCCACCUUAUCGAAUGAAAGCUGACACUUGGAAAUAGCGGGACCCGGAGAUUGGUAGAUCCGGGCGUAAGGGACCGAACACGAGUAGGGAAGUCCGCGAUGUUCUGAGGCGAGAAAAGGCGAAGGUAGGGUGCCCGUACCGCAAACCGACACAGGUAGAUGAGGAGAGAAUCCUAAGGCCAACGGGAGAAGGGUUGUUAAGGAACUCGGCAAAAUGACCCCGUAACUUCGGGAUAAGGGGAGCCUGCGCGAGCAGGCCGCAGAGAAUAGGCCCAAGCGACUGUUUACCAAAAACACAGGUCUAUGCUAAAUCGAAAGAUGACGUAUAUGGGCUGACGCCUGCCCGGUGCUGGAAGGUUAAGAGGAGAUGUCAGGCAACGAAGCAUUGAAUCGAAGCCCCAGUAAACGGCGGCCGUAACUAUAACGGUCCUAAGGUAGCGAAAUUCCUUGUCAGGUAAGUUCUGACCCGCACGAAUGGCGUAACGAUUUGGGCGCUGUCUCAACAGCCCACCCGGCGAAAUUGUUGUACUGGUGAAGAAGCCAGUUACCCGCAACUAGACGGAAAGACCCCAUGGAGCUUUACUGCAGCUUAAUACUGGAAUUCGGUAAUUCAUGUACAGGAUAGGUGGGAGACAUGGAAGUACGGUCGUCAGGCCGUAUGGAGUCGCCCUUGGGAUACCACUCUUGGAUUGCUGGGUUUCUAACCUGCGGCCGUGAAUCCGGUCGGGGGACACUGUUAGGCAGACAGUUUGACUGGGGCGGUCGCCUCCUAAAAGGUAACGGAGGCGCUCAAAGGUUGGCUCAGCACGGACGGAAAUCGUGCGGUGAGUGUAAACGUAUAAGCCAGCCUAACUGCGAGAGUGACGGCUCGAGCAGUAACGAAAGUUGGAGUUAGUGAUCCGGUGGUAUGUGAGUGGAAAUGCCAUCGCUCAACGGAUAAAAGCUACCCUGGGGAUAACAGGCUGAUCUCCCCCAAGCGUCCACAGCGACGGGGAGGUUUGGCACCUCGAUGUCGGCUCGUCACAUCCUGGGGCUGUACUCGGUCCCAAGGGUUCGGCUGUUCGCCGAUUAAAGUGGCACGCGAGCUGGGUUCAGAACGUCGUGAGACAGUUCGGUCCCUAUCUGUUGCGGGCGUAAGAGAUUUGAAGGGGGCUGUCCUUAGUACGAGAGGACCGGGAUGGACGCACCUCUGGUGCACCUGUUGUCGUGCCAACGGCAUAGCAGGGUAGCUAAGUGCGGACGAGAUAAACGCUGAAAGCAUCUAAGCGUGAAACUUUCCCUAAGAUAAGAUCUCUCAUCCUUCG